GAGUUUGAUCCUGGCUCAGGAUGAACGCUGGCGGCGUGCUUAACACAUGCAAGUCGAACGAACCUUCGGGUUAGUGGCGGACGGGUGAGUAACGCGUGGGAAUCUGCCCUCAGGAGGGGGAUAACGGCUGGAAACGGCCGCUAAUACCCCAUAUGCCGAGAGGUGAAAUGAAUUUCGCCUGAGGAUGAGCCCGCGUCUGAUUAGCUAGUUGGUGAGGUAAGAGCUCACCAAGGCAUCGAUCAGUAGCUGGUCUGAGAGGAUGAUCAGCCACACUGGGACUGAGACACGGCCCAGACUCCUACGGGAGGCAGCAGUGGGGAAUUUUCCGCAAUGGGCGAAAGCCUGACGGAGCAACGCCGCGUGAGGGAUGAAGGCCUCUGGGCUGUAAACCUCUUUUCUCAAGGAAGAAGAUCUGACGGUACUUGAGGAAUAAGCCACGGCUAAUUCCGUGCCAGCAGCCGCGGUAAUACGGGAGUGGCAAGCGUUAUCCGGAAUUAUUGGGCGUAAAGCGUCCGCAGGCGGCCCUUCAAGUCUGCUGUUAAAAAGUGGAGCUUAACUCCAUCAUGGCAGUGGAAACUGUUGGGCUUGAGUGUGGUAGGGGCAGAGGGAAUUCCCGGUGUAGCGGUGAAAUGCGUAGAUAUCGGGAAGAACACCAGUGGCGAAGGCGCUCUGCUGGGCCAUAACUGACGCUCAUGGACGAAAGCCAGGGGAGCGAAAGGGAUUAGAUACCCCUGUAGCCCUGGCCGUAAACGAUGAACACUAGGUGUCGGGGGAAUCGACCCCCUCGGUGUCGUAGCCAACGCGUUAAGUGUUCCGCCUGGGGAGUACGCACGCAAGUGUGAAACUCAAAGGAAUUGACGGGGGCCCGCACAAGCGGUGGAGUAUGUGGUUUAAUUCGAUGCAACGCGAAGAACCUUACCAGGGUUUGACAUCCUGCGAACCUCUUGGAAACGAGAGGGUGCCUUCGGGAACGCAGUGACAGGUGGUGCAUGGCUGUCGUCAGCUCGUGUCGUGAGAUGUUGGGUUAAGUCCCGCAACGAGCGCAACCCACGUCUUUAGUUGCCAGCAUUUAGUUGGGCACUCUAGAGAGACCGCCGGUGAUAAACCGGAGGAAGGUGUGGAUGACGUCAAGUCAUCAUGCCCCUUACAUCCUGGGCUACACACGUACUACAAUGCUACGGACAAAGAGCAGCAAGUUCGCGAGGACAAGCAAAUCUCAUAAACCGUGGCUCAGUUCAGAUCGUAGGCUGCAACUCGCCUACGUGAAGGAGGAAUCGCUAGUAAUCGCAGGUCAGCAUACUGCGGUGAAUACGUUCCCGGGCCUUGUACACACCGCCCGUCACACCAUGGAAGUUGGCCACGCCCGAAGCCGUUACUCCAACCCUCGGGAGGAGGACGUCGAAGGUGGGGCUGAUGACUGGGGUGAAGUCGUAACAAGGUAACCGUA
RNAcentral lists this ribosomal RNA (1447 nucleotides) under uncultured bacterium. RNAcentral describes it as "bacterial SSU rRNA". It matches the Rfam family "Bacterial small subunit ribosomal RNA". The record is from RNAcentral.